ACGAACGCUGGCGGCGUGCCUAAUACAUGCAAGUCGAACGAGAGCGACCGGUGCUUGCACUGGUCAAUCUAGUGGCGAACGGGUGAGUAACACGUGGGUAACCUGCCCAUCAGAGGGGGAUAACAUCCGGAAACGGAUGCUAAAACCGCAUAGGUCUUCGAACCGCAUGGUUUGAAGAGGAAAAGAGGCGCAAGCUUCUGCUGAUGGAUGGACCCGCGGUGCAUUAGCUAGUUGGUGAGGUAACGGCUCACCAAGGCCGUGAUGCAUAGCCGACCUGAGAGGGUGAUCGGCCACAUUGGGACUGAGACACGGCCCAAACGACUACGGGAGGCAGCAGUCGGGAAUCUUCCGCAAUGGACGCAAGUCUGACGGAGCAACGCCGCGUGAGUGAAGAAGGUUUUCGGAUCGUAAAACUCUGUUGUUAGAGAAGAACAAGUGCUAGAGUAACUGUUAGCGCCUUGACGGUAUCUAACAAGAAAGCCACGGCUAACUACGUG
Molecule: ribosomal RNA, 497 nt
Filed under: uncultured bacterium
Lineage: Bacteria
Description: partial 16S ribosomal RNA
Rfam family: Bacterial small subunit ribosomal RNA
Source: RNAcentral